UACGUAGGGGGCGAGCGUUGUCCGGAAUUACUGGGCGUAAAGCGCGCGUAGGUGGCCUGGUAAGAUGGGCGUGAAAUCCCCGAGCUCACCUCGGGGGGGGCGUCCGUGACUGCUGGGCUGGGGUGCGGCAGAGGCGGGUGGAAUUCCCGGUGGAGCGGUGAAAUGCGUAGAGAUCGGGAGGAACACCAGUGGCGGAGGCGACCCGCUGGGCCGACACCGACGCUGAGGCGCGAAAGCGUGGGGAGCGAACCGG
This 253-nucleotide ribosomal RNA is filed under the name uncultured bacterium. Its description in RNAcentral is "partial 16S ribosomal RNA". It matches the Rfam family "Bacterial small subunit ribosomal RNA", at positions 524 to 776 of the family's 1533-position model. The record is from RNAcentral.